CGGCAAGCCUAUCUCCAGACAAGCAUCGAGCCAAAAUAAUGUAGGGGGAUUGACCCCUGGGGGGGGUCCACGUAACUAAGCCACUCCCCGCACGAACACGGGGCACCCUGUACUGGACGCCCCCGAGCACCUUUCCCCCUGCCCCAACAGAUCACUGGAGGCACUCUAUCUUCCAGAGCACAAAGACAAUUCAUAUUAUGGUACACUCA
This is a non-coding RNA of Pelobates cultripes (western spadefoot toad), 209 nucleotides long. The record is from the annotation of a GenBank genome assembly. Lineage: Eukaryota; Metazoa; Chordata; Amphibia; Anura; Pelobatidae.